GAUGAAGAACGUAGCGAAAUGCGAUAAGUAAUGUGAAUUGCAGAAUUCAGUGAAUCAUCGAAUCUUUGAACGCACAUUGCGCCCGCCAGUAUUCUGGCGGGCAUGCCUGUUCGAGCGUCAUUUCAACCAUCAAGCCCCCCGGCUUGUGUUGGGGACCUGCGGCUGCCGCAGGCCCUGAAAAGCAGUGGCGGGCUCGCUGUCACACCGAGCGUAGUAGCAUACAUCUCGCUCUGGGCGUGCUGCGGGUUCCGGCCGUUAAACCACCUUCAUAACCCAAGGUUGACCUCGGAUCAGGUAGGAAGACCCGCUGAACUUAAGCAUAUCAAAGCGGAGGA
Molecule: unclassified non-coding RNA, 335 nt
Filed under: soil metagenome
Description: partial contains 5.8S ribosomal RNA, internal transcribed spacer 2, and large subunit ribosomal RNA
Rfam family: 5.8S ribosomal RNA (bases 1-120)
Source: RNAcentral